GAUGAACGCUGGCGGCGUGCCUAAUACAUGCAAGCCGAGCGAACGGACGAGAAGCUUGCUUCUCUGAUGUUAGCGGCGGACGGGUGAGUAACACGUGGAUAACCUACCUAUAAGACUGGGAUAACUUCGGGAAACCGGAGCUAAUACCGGAUAAUAUUUUGAACCGCAUGGUUCAAAAGUGAAAGACGGUCUUGCUGUCACUUAUAGAUGGAUCCGCGCUGCAUUAGCUAGUUGGUAAGGUAACGGCUUACCAAGGCAACGAUGCAUAGCCGACCUGAGAGGGUGAUCGGCCACACUGGAACUGAGACACGGUCCAGACUCCUACGGGAGGCAGCAGUAGGGAAUCUUCCGCAAUGGGCGAAAGCCUGACGGAGCAACGCCGCGUGAGUGAUGAAGGCCUUCGGAUCGUAAAACUCUGUUAUUAGGGAAGAACAUAUGUGUAAGUAACUGUGCACAUCUUGACGGUACCUAAUCAGAAAGCCACGGCUAACUACGUGCCAGCAGCCGCGGUAAUACGUAGGUGGCAAGCGUUGUCCGGAAUUAUUGGGCGUAAAGCGCGCGUAGGCGGUUUUUUAAGUCUGAUGUGAAAGCCCACGGCUCAACCGUGGAGGGUCAUUGGAAACUGGAAAACUUGAGUGCAGAAGAGGAAAGUGGAAUUCCAUGUGUAGCGGUGAAAUGCGCAGAGAUAUGGAGGAACACCAGUGGCGAAGGCGACUUUCUGGUCUGUAACUGACGCUGAUGUGCGAAAGCGUGGGGAUCAAACAGGAUUAGAUACCCUGGUAGUCCACGCCGUAAACGAUGAGUGCUAAGUGUUAGGGGGUUUCCGCCCCUUAGUGCUGCAGCUAACGCAUUAAGCACUCCGCCUGGGGAGUACGACCGCAAGGUUGAAACUCAAAGGAAUUGACGGGGACCCGCACAAGCGGUGGAGCAUGUGGUUUAAUUCGAAGCAACGCGAAGAACCUUACCAAAUCUUGACAUCCUUUGACAACUCUAGAGAUAGAGCCUUCCCCUUCGGGGGACAAAGUGACAGGUGGUGCAUGGUUGUCGUCAGCUCGUGUCGUGAGAUGUUGGGUUAAGUCCCGCAACGAGCGCAACCCUUAAGCUUAGUUGCCAUCAUUAAGUUGGGCACUCUAAGUUGACUGCCGGUGACAAACCGGAGGAAGGUGGGGAUGACGUCAAAUCAUCAUGCCCCUUAUGAUUUGGGCUACACACGUGCUACAAUGGACAAUACAAAGGGCAGCGAAACCGCGAGGUCAAGCAAAUCCCAUAAAGUUGUUCUCAGUUCGGAUUGUAGUCUGCAACUCGACUACAUGAAGCUGGAAUCGCUAGUAAUCGUAGAUCAGCAUGCUACGGUGAAUACGUCCCCGGGUCU
This 1372-nucleotide ribosomal RNA is filed under the name uncultured bacterium. RNAcentral's name for it is "bacterial SSU rRNA". It matches the Rfam family "Bacterial small subunit ribosomal RNA", at positions 28 to 1381 of the family's 1533-position model. The record is from RNAcentral.